UACGAAGGGGGCUAGCGUUGUUCGGAAUUACUGGGCGUAAAGCGUGCGCAGGCGGCUUCUCAAGUCAGGGGUGAAAGCCCAGAGCUCAACUCUGGAAUUGCCUUUGAGACUGAGAGGCUUGAGUACGGGAGAGGUGAGUGGAAUUCCCAGUGUAGAGGUGAAAUUCGUAGAUAUCGGGAGGAACAUCAGUGGCGAAGGCGGCUGCCUGGCCCAAUACUGACACUCAGGUGCGACAGCGUGGGGAGCAAACAGG
RNAcentral lists this ribosomal RNA (253 nucleotides) under uncultured bacterium. RNAcentral's name for it is "partial 16S ribosomal RNA". It matches the Rfam family "Bacterial small subunit ribosomal RNA", at positions 524 to 776 of the family's 1533-position model. The record is from RNAcentral.